RNAcentral lists this ribosomal RNA (468 nucleotides) under uncultured bacterium. RNAcentral describes it as "partial 16S ribosomal RNA". It matches the Rfam family "Bacterial small subunit ribosomal RNA", at positions 28 to 507 of the family's 1533-position model. The record is from RNAcentral.
GACGAACGCUGGCGGCGUGCUUAACACAUGCAAGUCGAACGGAAAGGCCCUGCUUUUGUGGGGUGCUCGAGUGGCGAACGGGUGAGUAACACGUGAGUAACCUGCCCUUGACUUUGGGAUAACUUCAGGAAACUGGGGCUAAUACCGGAUAGGAGCUCCUGCUGCAUGGUGGGGGUUGGAAAGUUUCGGCGGUUGGGGAUGGACUCGCGGCUUAUCAGCUUGUUGGUGGGGUAGUGGCUUACCAAGGCUUUGACGGGUAGCCGGCCUGAGAGGGUGACUGGCCACAUUGGGACUGAGAUACGGCCCAGACUCCUACGGGAGGCAGCAGUGGGGAAUAUUGCACAAUGGGCGGAAGCCUGAUGCAGCAACGCCGCGUGCGGGAUGACGGCCUUCGGGUUGUAAACCGCUUUCGCCUGUGACGAAGCGCGAGUGACGGUAAUGGGUAAAGAAGCACCGGCUAACUACGUG